GGGCGGUUAGCUCAGUUGGUUAGAGCUCUUGGUUUACACCCAGGUUGUCACAGGUUCGAGUCCUGUACCGCCCACCA
RNAcentral lists this transfer RNA (77 nucleotides) under Lentisphaerota bacterium. RNAcentral describes it as "Lentisphaerae bacterium (aquatic metagenome) tRNA-Val". It matches the Rfam family "tRNA". Rfam says of the family: Transfer RNA (tRNA) molecules are approximately 80 nucleotides in length. Their secondary structure includes four short double-helical elements and three loops (D, anti-codon, and T loops). The record is from RNAcentral. Lineage: Bacteria; Pseudomonadati; Lentisphaerota.